Molecule: ribosomal RNA, 459 nt
Filed under: uncultured bacterium
Lineage: Bacteria
Description: SSU rRNA
Rfam family: Bacterial small subunit ribosomal RNA
Source: RNAcentral
AGAAUCAACGCUGGCGGCGUGCCUAACACAUGCAAGUCGCACGAGAAAGGGACUUCGGUCCUGAGUACAGUGGCGCACGGGUGAGUAACACGUGAAUCAUCUACCUUCGAGUGUGGAAUAACUGAGAGAAAUCUUAGCUAAUACCUCAUAAUACCUACGGGUCAAAGCAGCAAUGCGCUUGAAGAGGAGUUCGCGGCAGAUUAGUUAGUUGGCGGGGUAAUGGCCCACCAAGACGAUGAUCUGUAUCCGGCCUGAGAGGGCGCACGGACACACUGGAACUGAAACACGGUCCAGACUCCUACGGGAGGCAGCAGUGGGGAAUUUUGCGCAAUGGGGGAAACCCUGACGCAGCAACGCCGCGUGGAGGAUGAAAUCCCUUGGGAUGUAAACUCCUUUCGAUAGGGAAGAUAAUGACGGUACCUAUAGAAGAAGCCCGGCUAACUUCGUGCCAGCAGCCGC